UGGCUCUGGUUGACAGCUGAAAUUGAGAUUAAUUGUGCUAAAUUAAGUGAGUGAGAAAUUACGAAAUUAUUGCAGCGCGUGUGUUGGUUGCAGUUAGAAAUCGCAAUCAGUUUGCCUGCAUCAGCUGUAGCCUGGAACGCCGAUCUCCCAACCCAGAGGGUCCUACAAAUUGUCUUGGGUCUGGGUCUUGGAUCUUGGAUCUUGUAUCUUGGAACUUGGAACUUCUCGGUGAAAAUUACAGGUGUGUGUUGUUGUGGCUGAGCUGCGGUUUGGGCGGUGCGAAAGGUGUGAAGCCGAAUGGCAAUGGAAGGGAAUGGAAUGGAGAUCCCAGGGAAACCAUCGGAUGGCUGCUUCUGCAAUUGGUCCACGCCCAGUCGGAGCUGCUGCGGCUGCUGAUGACUGAUGAUAGAGUUGAUUGAAAGUUAACAGGUUGAAAAGGGAUUGCACUUAAAUGUGCUGCAGAAUGCCUUCAGAUAUCCGGUAUUCAAAGAAGCAUUCACGAAACCAUUUAAAAAGGGUCCCUUAGAGGCUGAUGGCAGGGACCUAAAACCAGGCAGUAGAUGAUGGAAAUAUUCCAAGACUCCGAACUCCGAACCAGGAACUGCAUUCCGAAAAACACCCACUA
Long non-coding RNA from Drosophila pseudoobscura, 625 nucleotides. RefSeq lists it as uncharacterized. The transcript is spliced from 2 exons. NCBI's taxonomy places the organism in Eukaryota, Metazoa, Arthropoda, Insecta, Diptera, Drosophilidae. The record is from RefSeq and is a predicted model, not a curated record.